RNAcentral lists this ribosomal RNA (260 nucleotides) under Acinetobacter baumannii. Its description in RNAcentral is "partial 23S ribosomal RNA". It matches the Rfam family "Bacterial large subunit ribosomal RNA", at positions 2048 to 2306 of the family's 2925-position model. The record is from RNAcentral. Lineage: Bacteria; Pseudomonadati; Pseudomonadota; Gammaproteobacteria; Moraxellales; Moraxellaceae.
AUGUUUGUGAUGAUGCAAUCUACCCGCGGCUAGACGGAAAGACCCCAUGAACCUUUACUGUAGCUUUGCAUUGGACUUUGAAUCAAUCUGUGUAGGAUAGGUGGGAGGCUUUGAAGCGGGGACGCCAGUUCUCGUGGAGCCAUCCUUGAAAUACCACCCUGGUUCAUUUGAGGUUCUAACCUUGGUCCGUUAUCCGGAUCGGGGACAGUGCAUGGUAGGCAGUUUGACUGGGGCGGUCUCCUCCUAAAGAGUAACGGAGG